GAGGUGAUGUUACCAGUGUCUUAACAGGCUCUGUCUGGUCAUAGAGUGGACAACAGACUGUGGGGUUGAGGGAGGAGGAAGAUCAAACUGAAGGCUAAUCCCAUAGUCCAGGUGAGGAGGAAUGAACUGGAGUUGUGGCUUGGGCAAUGUGGCUAGAUUCUGGUUUUGUGUUUUUUAAAGGGGCAACUCAGAUUUUUAGAGAGCUUGAGUAGAUUCAGCAAUCACCCCAGGGUUUUUGGUCUUAGCAGCUGUAGCAUCAGGCGUAAUACUCACUGAGGAUAUCAGGAGUUUCCUUUUGGCCAUUCUGAGGGGAAAAAACACCAAUUGCUUUUGCUCUGCUCUCCCCUCCAGCAGCAGUCAGCACAGAGUACUUCUGUGCCCAGAUGUGUGGACACUUUUCCUCAUACACCAAGUUAUUUUCUACGGUGGACAUCACAUCCCAUAGGCUCAUGAAUGAAGGAAGACCACCACAAGUGGCCCCUGAACAGGGACAUGAGAUACGGGAACUUAAUGAAGAAGGUCUGAUGGAGCAGAGGCGGUGAAACUGAUGAGACGGAUGAGGAACCCCAAUAUGCCCGCAGUGAAUAUAAGAAGUGCGGACCGGAGAGCUUUCCUGAGACAAGGGCUCGGCUCUCCCACAGCCCAAGGCCCUUCUACCGGCGCAACAGGUACUGGAAGGAAACCGUAAGACAACUUUCCGCGCAGCGCACGCCGAGAAUCACGUUUGCUCCAGACAUCCGGAACAACCUUUAAAAAGCCGAAGAUGGCCCUCAAACCCCACAAGACUUCCUUAACCUGGAGACUUCCUUAACCUGGUCUUCAAUCAAUAGACGAGGCUAAACCUCAACAGCCUGGCUGUGGCACCCAGGGGCACAAAAGAAAAGAUCCAACAGCAGUGCACCUCCAAGGACAUGUUUCAAGUGCAGCAAGGAAGACAUUCGGCACAGGCAUGUCCCAAUCCGUGGGUGCCAAAAAGCCCUUGCUCAUCUGCUAGCACACAGGUCACUGGAAGCUGACUGUCCUCACCAGGCAGACAGAAAAGCCUGAACGUCCAACCUGCAACCCCUUCACCAAGACGAAAGCCGGAACUCCCAUCACUAAUUAUUUACCAACUCUUCCAAGCUGCACACCACCCAGCUAAGGCAAGAAUUACACACUGCCGAGGACACCAAACAGGAUUAGAUGAUGUCUCAAGAGGGACCAGAAAGGCCGACAAGGUAGGAAAAGAAGUCUGUUUCCUCUGCCCCUGUCCCUCUCCCCCUCCUCACCCCCACAAUUCAAACCCAGUAUUCUGCCACCAAAAAACCUUCACUCUUAAAACAAGGAGCCUCCUUCCAAGGGAACUGGAUAGCCAAACAAACUGAGGAAAUUCUAACAUCUCUUAUCAAUGCACACCCUCUGUACCUUCUCCUUCACCCUUCUAAUCCCCACCCCACACCUGUUUACACACUAAAAAAACCAAACUGUCUUGUAUGCUCUGUCACUUCCUCUCAAGGAGCCCUCCACUGUCCUCCUAUCCCUACACAUCAGCUGAGAACGUCUCUCCUCAUAACAUAUCAAAUAUUAAAAGUCCUCUCCCCUUCCCCAUGCACGCGCACACGUCUCAAGAGGAGUUUAUCCAUUCCUGUUUUUCCCUUUCCUCUACUGCCCACUCAGCUAUCCCAGUUUCUCAGCCCUAGGACCAUAUUCCCAUUCGCUUCUCACACACCAUCCAAAAAGGCUCUGCCUUUGUAGACAGAGCCUUCACCCUGACUAUCCCACUGUCCUUGGUAACAGAGCUACCAAACUUCUCUCCACAUAUACUGCCGAUUAUGACCACGCAAAACUCCCUCACCCUGCCAUCGAAAGUCCCGUAACUCUGUAUACCCCAAAACGUGGCCAAGCCCCCAUAUGUGUCACCUCUUUCAACAAACACAUACACAUAGGCACCAUCCCUCCCUCUGCCUGUGGUUCUACUCAAACCAUCUCCCAUCCCUCACUCUCCCCUGAAGCUAACGGCGCUUUUACCCAGCCCCUCCACAUUACCUCCUCUCCUGCCUCUCAAACAUGGAAACCCCUUCCUGAGACAGGAGUCCUCAAAGGGGUCUCUCUUUCCUCCUCACUCAGGGUUGCUAAAGCUGGACCAGUUCCCUCCAAAUAAGGAACCUACACACUCCAACACCUAUUCUCAAUCCCUUGUCCAUUUACAUUAACACCAGAGGCAUCUUCUUCCUCUGAGAUCUACAACCUAUUUGUCUCCCUACCAACUAGACAGGUACUUGCACCCUAACCUACCUCCAUUAAAUUAACCUUGUCCUCCAAACUAAAAAACUCCCUGUCCCUACUAUACUGCACGCCCACCCCCACUAAAAAAAUACAUCGUUCAUUCCCUUAUUAGUAGCCCUUGAAGUCACAACUAGUGUCGGGUUAGGAGCAGGAAGUCUAAAAACCUUGUUAUAUUUCUAGUAGCUCUCCCAAAAUUUCCAAUCGUCAGUAAAAAAAAAAAGAAACCAUAGCAAAGUCUAUCACUAACCUUCAAAACCAACUAGACUCUUUAAAAGCAAUCACUUGGCUGGGCGCAGUGGCUCAAGCCUGUAAUCCCAGCACUUUGGGAG
Non-coding RNA from Saimiri boliviensis boliviensis (Bolivian squirrel monkey), 2594 nucleotides. NCBI's taxonomy places the organism in Eukaryota, Metazoa, Chordata, Mammalia, Primates, Cebidae. The record is from RefSeq and is a predicted model, not a curated record.